Molecule: ribosomal RNA, 407 nt
Filed under: uncultured bacterium
Lineage: Bacteria
Description: partial 16S ribosomal RNA
Rfam family: Bacterial small subunit ribosomal RNA
Source: RNAcentral
GACGAACGCUGGCGGCGCGCUUAACACAUGCAAGUCGAGCGAAGCGGCGGACGGGUGAGUAACACGUGAGUCACCUGCCUUAGACAUUGGGAUAGACUCGGGAAACCGGGAGUAAUACAAAAUGGUCUAAGAUGGACUCGCGUCCAAUUAGCUAGUUGGUGGGGUAACGGCCCACCAAGGCGACGAUGGGUAGCCGGCCUGGUAGGGUGACCGGCCACAUUGGAACUGAGAAACGGUCCAAACUCUACGGGAGGCAGCAGUGGGGAAUAUUGCACAAUGGAGGGAACUCUGAUGCAGCGACGCCGCGUGAACGAAGAAGGCUUUCGAGUCGUAAAGUUCUUUUAUAUGGGAAGCGGUACCAUAAGAAAAAGCCCCGGCUAACUACGUGCCAGCAGCCGCGGUAAUUC